RNAcentral lists this ribosomal RNA (497 nucleotides) under uncultured bacterium. RNAcentral describes it as "partial 16S ribosomal RNA". It matches the Rfam family "Bacterial small subunit ribosomal RNA", at positions 28 to 507 of the family's 1533-position model. The record is from RNAcentral.
GAUGAACGCUGGCGGCGUGCCUAAUACAUGCAAGUCGAGCGAACAGACGAGGAGCUUGCUCCUCUGAUGUUAGCGGCGGACGGGUGAGUAACACGCGGAUAACCUACCUAUAAGACUGGGAUAACUUCGGGAAACCGGAGCUAAUACCGGAUAACAUGUUGAACCGCAUGGUUCAACAGUGAAAGACGGUCUUGCUGUCACUUAUAGAUGGAUCCGCGCCGCAUUAGCUAGUUGGUAAGGUAACGGCUUACCAAGGCAACGAUGCGUAGCCGACCUGAGAGGGUGAUCGGCCACACUGGAACUGAGACACGGUCCAGACUCCUACGGGAGGCAGCAGUAGGGAAUCUUCCGCAAUGGGCGAAAGCCUGACGGAGCAACGCCGCGUGAGUGAAGAAGGUCUCCGGAUCGUAAAACUCUGUUAUUAGGGAAGAACAAAUGUGUAAGUAACUAUGCACGUCUUGACGGUACCUAAUCAGAAAGCCACGGCUAACUACGUG